UACGUAGGGAGCAAGCGUUGUCCGGAUUUAUUGGGCGUAAAGAGCUCGUAGGCGGUUCCGUAAGUCAGGUGUGAAAAAUCUGGGCUCAACCCAGUGGAGCACCUGAUACUGCGGUGACUCGAGUCCGGGAGAGGUGAGUGGAAUUCCCAGUUGUAGCGGUGAAUGACGUAGAUAUUGGGAGGAACACCAGUGGCGAAGGCGACUCACUGGACCGGAACUGACGCUGAGGCGCGAAAGCGUGGGGAGCAACGGG
This 253-nucleotide ribosomal RNA is filed under the name uncultured bacterium. RNAcentral describes it as "partial 16S ribosomal RNA". It matches the Rfam family "Bacterial small subunit ribosomal RNA", at positions 524 to 775 of the family's 1533-position model. The record is from RNAcentral.